UACGGGGGGGCAAGCGUUGUUCGGAAUUACUGGGCGUAAAGGGCUCGUAGGCGGCCAACUAAGUCAGACGUGAAAUCCCCAGGCUCAACCUGGGAACUGCGUCUGAUACUGGAUGGCUUGAAUCCGGGAGAGGGAUGCAGAACUCCAGGUGUAGCGGUGAAAUGCGUAGAUAUCUGGAGGAAUACCGGUGGCGAAGGCGGCAUCCUGGACCGGCAUUGACGCUGAGGAGCGAAAGCCAGGGGAGCAAACGGG
Molecule: ribosomal RNA, 252 nt
Filed under: uncultured bacterium
Lineage: Bacteria
Description: partial 16S ribosomal RNA
Rfam family: Bacterial small subunit ribosomal RNA
Source: RNAcentral